Molecule: long non-coding RNA, 1460 nt
Organism: Balaenoptera acutorostrata (minke whale)
Lineage: Eukaryota; Metazoa; Chordata; Mammalia; Artiodactyla; Balaenopteridae
Exons: 6
Source: RefSeq, a predicted model, not a curated record
UUCCGGAAGGAGGGUUUAUCAACUGAACUCCCGUAAUUCAGCAAGUUGAGUGAAAGUGUGCAAGCGAGGCAAGUGGGAGAGACAGUCUCUGUCUCCAACAGCUUUGAUCCCAUCCGGCCUGCUCCCCACUCCCACGCCCCCGCCGCCCUCCGGGCAUCUGCAUCUGCGCGGGCCUGUAACUGCUCUGACUCCAGUGACACCAGCAAGUGACGUCUCCUUUGGCCAAGCAGACAAGAGCUGACCAGAGGAGCCAGGGAGCUCCGGGGCAGAGGCCUGACGGUCUGCAGCUGGCGAGAAGGAAGCCAGACCAGCGUUAGGCAUUAGCUCUAACUCAGAGCAAAGACUGCGAACCUUGCCAGGGAAGAAACUUGUUCUAAACCCCCCAAAGGUGAGGCCUGGAGAUGACUUUUCUUUUUUCUUUGGCAGCGCCCCACGGCUUAUGGGAUCUCAGUUCCCCGACCAGGGACUGAACCCUGGCCAUGGCAGUGAAAGCCCGGAAUCCUAACCGCUAGGCCACCAGGGAACUCCCCUGAACUUUCUUUGACCUUGACCUUCUUGGGGCUUACCAGGGCACUUGGAAAGGGCAAGAGUGGAAACAGGACAUGCAUCAUUGAACAUCUAGUGUGUCCUCAGCACCGUGCCAGGGAAACCAUCCAUCCUCAACUCACAGACCGUGUGGCUAAAGAGGGUUGAUCCCAACCUUUGGCUCCAGAAAAAGUCAAUCACAAUCUCAAAGGCUGUUUCAGAACUUGGCUACGUGACUGGAUCUGGAUCAAUGAGAGUUGUCGCCAGGACUUUGCUCAAAUGAUUGGUAAUGAGCCCCUCGAGCCGGCUCCAAGGGUGCCCCCGUGGGAGGUGGAGAAGGAGGACCUCUCCUCUCUGUGCCAGGCCCUGCUUCUCUGCCUGGCCAGGGCUUCAGGGUCCGCUGCUGGCUGUGCGCUUGACUGGAUCCGCCUACAUGGGGUCCCAGCAACCUCUAUGGACCGCCUCAGCUGCUCUAGAGGAUUCUAAGAUGAUGAAGACGGUGCUGGCCCUUGAAGAGAUGGCAGUUUAGUGAUGCUGAGAAACCAGGAAGUGGACGAUUACAAGAAUCCAGGGGGCCAGAGAGGAAUGCGAGAGGGCAAGUGGGGCAGACAUUGAAGCUGAACUUCUGUCACAGCUGAAUGAGUUCCUAUGCCCUAGCCGUGGAAUUGGGACUUGGAUGGCAUGGUCCACAUUUCCUUCCCGUCCUCCCCACUUUCCCUACACUCUGCAGGACGCAGUUCUUAGCCCUGAGAAAUCCUCUCAAUUUGCUGCCUUGAAUCAGUUGACCUGGUAGGACUUGUGGGAACAUGGAGGGUGGGCUUGGCCCUGCAUACUCCAGUAUCUUUAUAUACAGAAUUGCACAUUUGUUUUUACUUGGGUUUCAUUGGUUCCACUUAGUGGUGUGCUGGUAAAUGUUUAACAAGCUAACAAAUAAA